RNAcentral lists this ribosomal RNA (454 nucleotides) under uncultured bacterium. RNAcentral describes it as "SSU rRNA". It matches the Rfam family "Bacterial small subunit ribosomal RNA", at positions 26 to 518 of the family's 1533-position model. The record is from RNAcentral.
AGGACGAACGCUGGCGGCGUGCCUAAUGCAUGCAAGUCGCACGCACGGAGCUUGCUCCGUGAGUGGCGCACGGCUGAGGAUCACGUGGGAACAUGCCUCCUUGUGGGGGACAACACCGCGAAAGCGGUGCUAAUCCCGCAUACGCUCGGCAACGAGGAAAGCGGUAACGCGCAGGGAGAGUGGCCCGCGGCCCAUCAGGUCGUAGGUGGGGUAAUGGCCUACCUAGCCGGUGACGGGUAGCUGGUCUGUGAGGACAGACAGCCAGACUGGGACUGAGACACGGCCCAGACUCCUACGGGAGGCAGCAGUGGGGAAUAUUGGACAAUGGGCGAAAGCCUGAUCCAGCCAUGCCGCGUGAGUGAAGAAGGCCUUAGGGUUGUAAAGCUCUUUCAACGGGGAAGAUAAUGACGGUACCCGCAGAAGAAGUCCCGGCUAACUUCGUGCCAGCAGCCGC